UGAAGAUUCUUCUCAUCUAACAACUCAAAUAAUUUACCACCUUCAACUGUAUGCGGAAAUUCGAGUGAGCUGGAGAUUUGUUCCAAUGUCUAAAUUGUUGGCAAACUAAUACAGGUUAUAUAAUAUCCAAUUGGAUGAGCAACUCGAAAAUCGACAAAAUAGCUUGCGAGACAGGUACCUAAAUGUAAGACAAUCACUGUAUUGCAUCCACAAGAGAGUUUCUUUGUUUUUGGGAUCUACCAUUAGGCAUCCGUAUGUAAUACUGAAGAAUGCGAU
Papaver somniferum (opium poppy) is the source of this 276-nucleotide long non-coding RNA. RefSeq lists it as uncharacterized. Lineage: Eukaryota; Viridiplantae; Streptophyta; Magnoliopsida; Ranunculales; Papaveraceae. The record is from RefSeq and is a predicted model, not a curated record. The transcript has 3 exons.